Molecule: long non-coding RNA, 1242 nt
Organism: Herpailurus yagouaroundi (jaguarundi)
Lineage: Eukaryota; Metazoa; Chordata; Mammalia; Carnivora; Felidae
Exons: 4
Source: RefSeq, a predicted model, not a curated record
CCUAGCUCUCUGGGUGGCAUUUCCAUUGGGGAAAAAAAAGUGAUGGAAGAAUCCCCUUGAAUUAGGACUCGAGAUAAACAACAACAAAGAGGCUGGAGGGACUUUAUCCAAACAUAUGACCCUUUGGGGCUCUGAAGCAGGCCAUUUGGUGACUGGCAUAUGCAACAUCCAUUCCAAAUCCCAUGGGUGACCUUAUUAGCAAGGGGGUGGGGUUGGGGGAGGUAUGUAACCAGUAUCAACCUCAAAACAAAAUAUUUGAUCAAAGUCUUUUGUAAUGAUCUGUUAUUUCCAGUCUUUUGACUCUGCCAGAUAACCUACUCUCUCCAGAUGGAGAAACACUUUUAGAAUGUGACACAUAUCAUUUUUAGUAUGCCCACAAUUGAGACCAAAUAUUUGUGUGAAUGAGGGUAGGGAUGAGUGUGGAGAGAACAUGCUGCAUCUCCUAAUGAAUUGAAUUCGACUAAUGUAUGCCAGCGCCUGUGCUGGGUACUGGAGAUACCAAGAUAAAUGAUAUAUCUGGUGCAAACAUUCUAGUGAUGCUUCUUGUAUUGUUGGGAGGGUUUGGUUUUUGUUUUUGUUUUUUUUUUGUUUUGUUUUGUUUUGUUUUGUUUUUGUUUUUUAGUAUAACUGAGCCUGCUAAACACUCUACAAAUUGCUACCCUGCCAAAAUUCUGCCUGGGCUCAGACUAUCUCGGUGAUGGUGUUUCUCUUGUAUGCCAAGCUUGUUUUAAGAAAUUCUUCAACAGGAAUUAGGCAGGUCAAGAACUGUGAAGAAACCCAUCAGGAAUGGCAGUGUGUAAUAAGGGACAAAGGAGUUGGGAUUUGAUCCAGAUCCUCUGUCUCCAAGCACAGUCUUCAUUCUGUGGCACACAGUAGCCAACUUCAGGACACCGGUUCUGAUUGCAUGACUACAGAGAUUCAAGAGGCUCAAAAUGAACCCUGCAACCGGUUUUCGAACUCUGACAUGCCCUUGUAAUGACCCAUCCAUGCAUUGCUGGAAUAAAAGACCUAUGUAGUCCUAGAGGGUGGUCACCAUGGACCGUGGACAAGUUACUCACACUCUGGACCUAUUUCUUCACCCAUAAAAGGCUUCCUCACAGGAUGUCAUGAGGAUUAACUAGUUAGUAUAUGUAAAGCACUCAGACUACUGGCUGACAUAUUGGAAGACUCGAAUGUGUGGGUGUGAGCCUGAACCUGAAAGCUGAGUGAUCAUUUCUAAGAAGGGCUAGUAAUUAAGGUAAU